This 539-nucleotide transfer RNA is filed under the name uncultured cyanobacterium. Its description in RNAcentral is "partial contains 16S ribosomal RNA, 16S-23S ribosomal RNA intergenic spacer, and 23S ribosomal RNA". The stretch from base 210 to 282 matches the Rfam family "tRNA". Lineage: Bacteria; Bacillati; Cyanobacteriota. The record is from RNAcentral.
CAGGGAGACAACAAAAUGUUUAAUAUUUAAUUUUGUCACCUUAGGUCGAUCGGUAUCUCACAUCCUUAAUCCAUUAAGGAUUUCAUUUCCUAAGUUUUCUAGGUCACACCCAUUACUUUUCCUGGGCCAUUAGCUCAGGUGGUUAGAGCGCACCCCUGAUAAGGGUGAGGUCCCUGGUUCAAGUCCAGGAUGGCCCAUAUCUCUAUGUUGGGGGUAUAGCUCAGUUGGUAGAGCGCCUGCUUUGCAAGCAGGAUGUCAGCGGUUCGAGUCCGCUUACCUCCACUGAUUACCACCUCUUCCAUAAUCUUUAGAAAGGAAAUGUUUUGAGUUGUGAUCAAACUCUGAACGAAUCUAGCUUCCUAAUGUAACUAUUAAGAUGCUGGACUCAUUGAAUAAAUUUCACUGUUUUCAGAGAACCUUGACAACUGCAUAGAUUAUUUUUUAAAGACAAUAAGCAUCUUUAAUGAUGCAGAUUUAUUAUUUGUGCAAAUGCAUUAAUAACAAUUCUAUUAAGCUGAUGCUUCAAUUUUGAAGUUAUU